This 478-nucleotide ribosomal RNA is filed under the name uncultured bacterium. RNAcentral describes it as "partial 16S ribosomal RNA". It matches the Rfam family "Bacterial small subunit ribosomal RNA", at positions 28 to 523 of the family's 1533-position model. The record is from RNAcentral.
GACGAACGCUGGCGGCGUGCUUAACACAUGCAAGUCGAACGGUAAGGCCCUUCGGGGUACACGAGUGGCGAACGGGUGAGUAACACGUGGGUGAUCUGCCCUGCACUUCGGGAUAAGCCUGGGAAACUGGGUCUAAUACCGGAUAGGACUCCUGCCUGCAUGGGUGGGGGUGGAAAGCUUUUGCGGUGUGGGAUGGGCCCGCGGCCUAUCAGCUUGUUGGUGGGGUGAUGGACUACCAAGGCGACGACGGGUAGCCGGCCUGAGAGGGUGACCGGCCACACUGGGACUGAGAUACGGCCCAGACUCCUACGGGAGGCAGCAGUGGGGAAUAUUGCACAAUGGGGGCAAGCCUGAUGCAGCGACGCCGCGUGAGGGAUGACGGCCUUCGGGUUGUAAACCUCUUUCAGCACAGACGAAGCGCAAGUGACGGUAUGUGCAGAAGAAGGACCGGCCAACUACGUGCCAGCAGCCGCCGUAA